Molecule: ribosomal RNA, 522 nt
Filed under: uncultured bacterium
Lineage: Bacteria
Description: bacterial SSU rRNA
Rfam family: Bacterial small subunit ribosomal RNA
Source: RNAcentral
GGGAUAUUGCGCAAUGGGCGAAAGCCUGACGCAGCAACGCCGCGUGCCCGAGGAAGGCCUUCGGGUUGUAAAGGGCUUUUCUGGCUGAAGAGGAAGGACGGUAAGCCAGGAAUAAGUGUCGGCUAACUACGUGCCAGCAGCCGCGGUAAAACGUAGGACACGAGCGUUAUCCGGAGUUACUGGGCGUAAAGGGCAGGUAGGCGGACAGGCAAGUUGGGUGUGAAAUCUCCCUGGCUUAACCGGGAGGGUGCACUCGAAACUGUCUGACUGGAGGGCGGCAGAGGAGCGUGGAAUUCCGGGUGGAGUGGUGAAAUGCGUAGAGAUCCGGAGGAACACCAGAGGCGAAAGCGGGGCUCUGGGCCGCACCUGACGCUGAACUGCGAAAGCCAGGGUAGCGAACGGGAUUAGAAACCCCGGUAGUCCUGGCCGUAAACGAUGUCAACUGGGCGUUGGUAUGGAAGCAUAUCAGCGCCGGAGCGAACGCGCUAAGUUGACCGCCUGGGGAGUACGACCGCAAGGUUA